Molecule: ribosomal RNA, 862 nt
Filed under: uncultured bacterium
Lineage: Bacteria
Description: bacterial SSU rRNA
Rfam family: Bacterial small subunit ribosomal RNA
Source: RNAcentral
GGGGCCAAUGGCGCUGCUUACCAUGCAGUCGGACGAGGUGCGCGGCUUCGGCUUCGUUACCUAGUGGCGGACGGGUGACUUUGCGUGGGAACCUGCCCUGGAGUGGGGAAUAACCACUGGAAACGGUGGCUAAUACCGCAUACGCCCCCCUUGGUGAAACUUGGGGGGGAAAGGCUUCGGCCGCUUUAGGAUGGGCCCGCGUCCGAUUAGCUAGUUGGUGAGGUAAUGGCUUACCAAGGCGACGAUCGGUAGCUGGUCUGAGAGGAUGAUCAGCCACACUGGGACUGAGACACGGCCCAGACUCCUACGGGAGGCAGCAGUGGGGAAUAUUGGACAGUGGGGGCAACCCUGAUCCAGCAAUGCCGCGUGAGUGAAGAAGGCCUUAGGGUUGUAAAGCUCUUUCACCCGUGAAGAUGAUGACGGUAGCGGGAGAAGAAGCCCCGGCUAAUUCCGUGCCAGCAGCCGCGGUAAUACGGAAGGGGCUAGCGUUGUUCGGAAUUACUGGGCGUAAAGAGCGCGUAGGCGGCUCUUCAAGUUAGGCGUGAAAGGCCUGGGCUCAACCUGGGAACUGCGUUUAAUACUGGAGAGCUUGAGUCCGGGAGAGGGUGGUGGAAUUCCCAGUGUAGAGGUGAAAUUCGUAGAUAUUGGGAGGAACACCAGUGGCGAAGGCGGCCACCUGGCCCGGAACUGACGCUGAGGCGCGAAAGCGUGGGGAGCAAACAGGAUUAGAUACCCUGUUAGUCCACGCCGUAAACGAUGAGUGCUAGAUGGUCGGGAGCUUGCUCUUCGGUGUCGCAGCUAACGCGUUAAGCACUCCCCCGGGGGAGUACCGGCCGCAGGGUAAAACUUAAAGGAAUUGCCG